AUGGCACCUAAGGCAACCAAGGCUCCUGUGACCUGUAAUUGGGUCCAAUCCACUGUCACAAAGAGCAAAUUGCCUGAAUUUGUGAAGUCUGGCCAUCUGCCCAAGAAGGAGGUCAUGUUUUAUCAUGCCCCUGACCCGUCCGAGGAGAAACCUCAGCCCAAAGAAGGGGAGGUGAUAGUUUUUACGGAUCAUAUGAGCCGGGGAUUUGCCCCACCCGGUUCAAAAUUCUUCAGGGAUGUUUUGCAUUUCUUUGACCUCGGACCUCAAGACAUCGGGCCCAAUUCCAUGUCAAAUAUUUGCAACUUCCAAGUCUUCUGCGAGGUGUACCUGGGAGAAGAGCCCAAUCUACUUUUGUUCAGAGAGCUAUUCUACUUAAACCGGCAGAAUGAACGUGCCAACGGGCCCAGUCUAGAACUUGGUGGCAUCUCGAUUCAGCGCCGGAGAGACUGCCUUUUUCCUUAUGCUGAACUACCGAGAAAUCCGAAGGAUUGGAAUCAGACGUGGUUCUAUUGCUAG
Molecule: ribosomal RNA, 516 nt
Filed under: Triticum aestivum (bread wheat)
Lineage: Eukaryota; Viridiplantae; Streptophyta; Magnoliopsida; Poales; Poaceae
Description: partial small subunit ribosomal RNA
Source: RNAcentral